This 254-nucleotide ribosomal RNA is filed under the name uncultured bacterium. RNAcentral's name for it is "partial 16S ribosomal RNA". It matches the Rfam family "Bacterial small subunit ribosomal RNA", at positions 524 to 776 of the family's 1533-position model. The record is from RNAcentral.
UACAGAGGGUGCAAGCGUUGUCCGGAAUUACUGGGCGUAAAGGGCGCGUAGGCGGCUUGAUAAGUAGGGGGUGAAAUUUCGUGGCUCAACCACGAAACUGCCUUCUAAACUGUCUGGCUUGAGCACGGUAGAGGCAGAUGGAAUUCCCGGUGUAGCGGUGGAAUGCGUAGAGAUCGGGAAGAACACCAGUGGCGAAGGCGGUCUGCUGGGCCGUUGCUGACGCUGAUGCGCGACAGCGUGGGGGAGCAAACAGG